RNAcentral lists this long non-coding RNA (644 nucleotides) under Homo sapiens (human). RNAcentral's name for it is "HSALNT0264876". The record is from RNAcentral. Lineage: Eukaryota; Metazoa; Chordata; Mammalia; Primates; Hominidae.
GUCAAUACCACACCCGGGUCAAUACUACCUGACUGUGGUUGGGUCUUUUUGAGUUCAAAUUCUGUCGCCCUCUCAUAAGUGGGGGGGCUAUCUGUCUCAAACCUGAUAGUUUGCUUCUUCCUCAUCAGCAAGAAGGGGGAUCACACUCCCAAAAAAGGACUGUUAAGAAGCUGAGAGCCACAGUAAAAAGCCACAAGGAUGUCCCAAGUUACAUUUCCAACCUUGUCACCUGCUUCCUUCACAAACCCACUUUUCUGGGCAGAAAAGUGCACCCUGCCAGCAGAACACGCCUGGUUCCUUCCUCCCUCCAAACUUCCGCCCACACUCGCCUCUGUAGCCUCUGUAGCCAGAUGUGCUCCUCUUCAUAUCAUUUUUUUUUUUUUUCUUGAGAAAGUUUCUUGCUCUGUUGCUCAGGCUGGAGUACAGUGGCAUGAUCAUGGCUCACUGCCACCUUGACCUCCUGGGCUCAGGCGAUCCUCCCACUUCAGUCUCCAGAAUAGCUGGGACCACAGGUGCACACCAUGCCCAACUAAUUAAAAAAAAAUAUUUUUUUGUAGAGACGAGCUCUCACCAUGUUUCCCAGACUGGUCUAGAAUGCCUGGGCUCAAGCGAUCCUCCCUCCUCAGCCUCCCAAAGUGGUGGUA